Molecule: non-coding RNA, 617 nt
Organism: Rattus norvegicus (Norway rat)
Lineage: Eukaryota; Metazoa; Chordata; Mammalia; Rodentia; Muridae
Source: RefSeq, a predicted model, not a curated record
AUUCUAAGCAAACAGAUCUUUCAACAAAAGAUUUCUGAAGCCACCAUAGGUAACAUACAGCUGCCCAUGCCUCCCUCUUUGUAGAAGAGUUUCCGGGAGAAGCCUCGGGAGGGCUAAUCAAGAUAUUAAAUUUACUCACAGACAACCUGUGUCAAUGCCUGGUAGCAAGUUGGGUGUUCAAUGGAAAUGAAAGAUUAGAAGACCAUUUAGAUGGCUUGGUGGGCAGAGUGCUCACCAACAAGUCUGAGGAACUGAUACCCAGAAUCCACCUGGUGUAAAGACAAAAAUGACCUCCUGAAAGAUGCCUUCUGACCUCUGCACGGAUGCUAUGGCCCAGUCCACACCUGGAACCUGAAGCAGACAACGGUAAGGGAUUACAGCAUUAAUAAAAUGGACAACGGAGACUCGAAGAAUACAAAACAAUAGCCAGAAGAGUGCCAGUGCAGGAGGAGAGAAGGCAUGAGUUUUAUCUGUGUGCAAUGCUAAGAAUGCUAUCGGGAUGUUAUUUGGAGAGACAGAGCAAUGCCACUGAGGAGAACAUAUUCGACAGUACUUGACUCACAUACGAGGUUGAAAGACACAGGGCAGAUAUGAAAAAUGGGGAGAAGAGAAGAAAA